This 1968-nucleotide long non-coding RNA is filed under the name Homo sapiens (human). RNAcentral's name for it is "HSALNT0290005". Lineage: Eukaryota; Metazoa; Chordata; Mammalia; Primates; Hominidae. The record is from RNAcentral.
CCCCAAGGGGGUGGAGCAAGGACCCACUGCUCAGGCCCGGCGCUGGCCACAGCAGGAGCUCACGGGGGCAUCUUGGGGCAGAAAGGCAAAUAAGGAAUCUGGAGGAAGACCAAGGAGGAGCUGGUGAUUAACAUCACGCAAGGGCAGGCAUGUCCCCAGUGUGGCACCUCAGAGGUGACCAGCCACACAGCCCCCACCCCUGCCUGGACUGUGGCAUCUAGUGAGAGCUCCCAGCAUGAGCGACGCAGAAGAUGGGUGAUUUCUGCAUUUCCAACUGAGAUCUGCCCACAGGAGAGAAUGCAACAGUCCGAGAUGUGCUUCCAGGCAUGCAGAGAGGCGAGGGCUCACCCCAGGUGCAAAGCCUGCUGCUGUCUGGCCAACCUCCACCUGCAUCAAAGGCCAUCCACAUCAGGGGCUGGCGCCAGUGGGCACAGCUGGCUCUCAGACCAACCAAGUCCUACACCCUCUUUAUCAUGAAUAAAUGCAUGAUAAAGAAAGUGAUAUUUUCAUCUCCGCCAUCUGCCUCUCUUGACCGACUGUGCCCAUGGACAAGAAACAAGAAGCAUGCCCUGUUGUACCUGGUGACCCUGGUGCCCAACUGUUUGGUUGACCCGUUCUAUUGUUUUGUCUUCUAAGCAUUUACACUUAUCAAAUUUUUUUCCUUCUACUUUUACUGGGUUUGUUCUGUCUUUCUCCCCAAAACUUCUUAAGUUGAACAAUUAAAACAAUAUCUUAAAGAGUACCUUUCUUCUUCACCAACAUAGGCAUUUAAAACUGUAAAUUCCCCUGUAAUUACAAUUUUACUUGCAUCUCCUAAGUUUUGAUAUGCAAUAUUAUUUUGUCAUUCAGUUUUAAAUAAUUACGCAUUUCUAUUUUGAGGUCUUCAUUGACUCAUGGAAUAAUUAGAAGCACAUUUUAAAAUUAAAAAAAUAAAAGCAGUUCAGAGUGGUUGUAGGGGAGGGAGUGACUGACUUCUGAUCUUGUGGCAUUAUGGCCAGAGAAAGUUAUAAAAUUAGAUUUGAUACCGAUUCUCUCAGUAUAGGGUGAUGCCUGCUUGGUGAGCUAAAAAAUAUAUAUGAAUGAUGAUCAGUUUUUCUAAGUUUCAAAGUAUGCUUUAAAAUAAUGCAUAUUCUCUAAACGGGAUGUACAGGUUUUCUCAGAUCACCUUUUUAAACUGUAUUUUAUAAUAUCCUUAUUAACUUGUUUCUGUUUGAUCAAUCUACUGAGAAGUAUGUCUAGAACUCCCAUGAUUGUGGAGGUUUGCCAAUUUCUCCUUAUAAGUCCAUCAAGUUCUCCUCUCUAUCUUGAGGCUACGUAUGUUAGAAGAUCGCGGAUUCAGAACUGUUUCUUUUCCUAGUGAAUUACUUUCUUGGUUAUUGUUUACCAGCCUCCUUGAUCCCUAGCGCUGCAUUUGCUUUGUGUCUCUGCUGUCAGGUGCCACUGUUAGGCUACUUCAUUUGAGGUCAGCAUUUUAACAUCACUUUUCCCAUCUGCCACUUUCUACCUCGAGAGGCGGCAGUGUUUCAGACCCCAGCUGGGUCCCUUAUGAGCUGAGUCACUGACCAAGAUGGGGAAACUGACCAUCAAUAAAAAUAUCAACAUGUCAGGUGUGUUUCUAUUCAAUGUAGCUUCAAUCUAUUCGUUUACAAUGAUACCCGAAGAAAAAAAAAGUCAUUAGUCCCCAUCCUUGAAGGAUGCCAGGGAAUCAUGUAAUUACUUCAGAAAUUGGCAAAUAAAGGGAAGAAUCAAGUAUUAUCCAGCCUUUCCUAUACAAACUGCACCUCAAGGUAAGCAAAAAGUUGAUGCCAGGAAGUUUCUGGUUUUGGAAGCAUCCCAGCUAACAAACAAGGGAGGUGUUCUAGAAGCAGAACGUCACCUCUGCACAAAUGACACAGCGGUGGGCACAAUGGCUGCUGACGCAACACAAAGAGAAGCAAGCAGACGCCAAGGGCGCAGCGGAGGUGCAGG